This 253-nucleotide ribosomal RNA is filed under the name uncultured bacterium. Its description in RNAcentral is "partial 16S ribosomal RNA". It matches the Rfam family "Bacterial small subunit ribosomal RNA", at positions 524 to 776 of the family's 1533-position model. The record is from RNAcentral.
UACGAGAGGCCCAACCGUUAUUCGGAAUUACUGGGCUUAAAGAGUUCGUAGGCGGCAUGACACGUAGGGUGUGAAAGCCCUCGGCUCAACCGAGGAAUUGCGCUCUAAACUGUCGUGCUUGAGGAACCUAGAGGUGAGCAGAACAGAUGGUGGAGCGGUGAAAUGCGUUGAUAUCAUCUGGAAUACCGGAGGCGAAGGCGGCUCACUGGGAGUUUUCUGACGCUGAGGAACGAAAGCCAGGGUAGCGAACGGG